GAUGAACGCUGACAGAAUGCUUAACACAUGCAAGUCGAUGGGGAAGUGGUGCUUGCACCAUGGCAACCAUGGCGGACGGGUGAGUAACGCGUAAGGGACUUACCUGCAGGACUGGGAUAACAGGGGGAAACUCCUGACAAGACCGGAUAAUGUCAUGGAGCUGCAUGGCUUUAUGAUGAAAGGAGACGCCUGCGGAGAGCCUUGCGUCCUAUUAGCUGGUUGGUGAGGUAAUGGCUCACCAAGGCGAAGAUAGGUAGCCGGCCUGAGAGGGUGGACGGCCACAAGGGGACUGAGAUACGGCCCUUACUCCUACGGGAGGCAGCAGUGGGGAAUAUUGGACAAUGGGGGCAACCCUGAUCCAGCAAUUCUGUGUGCACGAAGAAGGUUUUCGGAUUGUAAAGUGCUUUCAGCAGGGAAGAAGUAAGUGACGGUACCUGCAGAAGAAGCGACGGCUAAAUACGUG
This 463-nucleotide ribosomal RNA is filed under the name uncultured bacterium. RNAcentral describes it as "partial 16S ribosomal RNA". It matches the Rfam family "Bacterial small subunit ribosomal RNA", at positions 28 to 507 of the family's 1533-position model. The record is from RNAcentral.